This 374-nucleotide unclassified non-coding RNA is filed under the name soil metagenome. Its description in RNAcentral is "partial contains internal transcribed spacer 2 and large subunit ribosomal RNA". The stretch from base 1 to 120 matches the Rfam family "5.8S ribosomal RNA", at positions 35 to 154 of the family's 154-position model. The record is from RNAcentral.
GAUGAAGAACGUAGCGAAAUGCGAUAAUUAAUGUGAAUUGCAGAAUUCCAUGAAUCAUUGAGUCUUUGAACGCACAUUGCGCCUCAUGGCAUUCCGUGAGGCAUGCCCAUCUCAGCGUUAGAAAAUAUUCUCAAAUUUUAGUUUUGUGCUAAAAUUUGGAUCAUGUCAAGGAAGCUAUUACUAUUAUUGUGAUCGCUCUUUGGAAAUUGAUAGGUCUUUGAGUUGCUACUCAUAGAACGUGAUGAAUCUUUCUUCGUUCUAUUGUAAUUCACUCUGGUAGUCCUAAAACUUGUAUGCCUGUGGCAUAUCUUGUAAUUUGACCUGAGAUUGGGUAGGGAUACCCGCUGAACUUAAGCAUAUCAAUAAGCGGAGGA